UGGGGAAUUUUGGACAAUGGGCGAAAGCCUGAUCCAGCAAUGCCGCGUGUGUGAAGAAGGCCUUCGGGUUGUAAAGCACUUUUGUCCGGAAAGAAAUCCUUGGCUCUAAUACAGUCGGGGGAUGACGGUACCGGAAGAAUAAGCACCGGCUAACUACGUGCCAGCAGCCGCGGUAAUACGUAGGGUGCAAGCGUUAAUCGGAAUUACUGGGCGUAAAGCGUGCGCAGGCGGUUUGCUAAGACCGAUGUGAAAUCCCCGGGCUCAACCUGGGAACUGCAUUGGUGACUGGCAGGCUAGAGUAUGGCAGAGGGGGGUAGAAUUCCACGUGUAGCAGUGAAAUGCGUAGAGAUGUGGAGGAAUACCGAUGGCGAAGGCAGCCCCCUGGGCCAAAUACUGACGCUCAUGCACGAAAGCGUGGGGAGCAAACAGGAUUAGAUACCCUGGUAGUCCACGCCCUAAAACGAUGUCAACUAGUUGUUGGGGAUUCAUUUCCUUAGUAACGUAGCUAACGCGUGAAGUUGACCGCCUGGGGGAGUACGGUCGCAAGAUUAAAAACUUAAAGGAAUUGACGGGGUCAUAGCUGUUUCCU
This 589-nucleotide ribosomal RNA is filed under the name uncultured bacterium. Its description in RNAcentral is "partial 16S ribosomal RNA". It matches the Rfam family "Bacterial small subunit ribosomal RNA", at positions 355 to 1375 of the family's 1533-position model. The record is from RNAcentral.